GCUGGGAGGUAGAGGCUGCAGUGAGCUGUGAUCAAGCCACUGCACUCCAGCCUGGGUGACAGAGUGAGACCUUACGUCAAAUAAGUAAAUACUAGACAUGAAGUUAGUUCUGACUGUGUUUUGCUAUUAGCACUGUGAUUGAUCCUGGGUGAAAAUAUGAGCCUCAUUUUUCUUGUCUGUGAAAUGGCAAUGUGGCAAACUAUGCCAUGUUCAUUCUCACUAAGAGGGAAUAAAAGGAUUAGGCAAAAUAGCAUAAAAUAGAACUAGCAUGAUCUAUACUUUAUUCAGAAACCUAAAGCUGGAAAAUUUUUGGCUUUAUCAAAGCAGAAACUGUUCAUCAUGACUUGUGUCUCUAGCACUCAGCUGAGGUCUUGGCACAUUGUGGUUGCUCAGUAACUAUUAGUUAAGUGAGUGGAUAAUGGCAUUUUGCACUCUGCUUACAAUACUGUCUAUCUGUUCACCCAGAGUGAUUUAGCAAAAUUCAUACAAUCAAGCAUAGAUAGAUUGGUUGAUAGACAGAUAUAGAUACACAUACUCUUUAAUCUUCACAAUAAUCUUAUAACUUAGAAGACUUCACAGAGGUGGAAAUUAAGGCACUGAGAAGGUAAGAGAAUUAUCCAGACUCAUGCAGCUGUUAACCAGCAGAGCCAGGAUUUCAAACCCUAGAAGAAUGGAGUCCCAGUUCAUAAUCGUUCUGCUUUUAUACCUCUCCAGUGAAUUAUAGUGACAUCUACUUACGAAGGAAAUUGCCUUUCAGUGACACAUUUUUCCAGACACUUCCUUGUCAUUGAUACAAAUGAUUUAAGAGAUAUGGGGAUACAUUUUGGGGUAAGAUUUCUCCUUCUUCGGUGACAUACUACUUUUUCCCCUGCCCUCCUAGGACAGCGAGUCCCCUGAACCAUUACAGUCAUUGAAGCAAUGUUGCUGCCUUUCUUAGGACUACCAUUUCCCUAGUGAACAGAAAUGUCAUAAAUGGUUAUGGCCUGGACAGACUUCCACAAAUGUAGGAUGACAGAGUUUUGAUCUCUAGAAAUUUGAAUUUCCCCUCAUUUGGGGAAAUGAAUGGUCAUUUGCUGACCCACUCAUGUAAAACCUCAGCCUAUCGAGGUACGAGGUGGACUGAACUCCAGAGGCAGGGCUUAAGCACCUUACCAAAUUGACGUCUAGCUAAAAUAGGGACAGGGCAAAAGCAGCUUUCCAUAAGACAUGCCCACCAAUGUGCCAUGUCAGUUUAUCAUUACCUUGGCAACACCCAGAAAUUACCACCCCUUUCCAUGUCAACAACCAAACAAUACAGAAGUUACCCCCCUUUUCCUAGAAAUUUCUGCAUAACCACCCCUUAAUUUGCAUGUAAUUAAAAGCAGGUAUAAAUAUGACUGCAGAACAGCCUUUGCGCUCCUACUGUGGGCACACUGCCUAUGGGGGAUCCCUGCUGUGCAAGGAGCAGUACCUUUGCUGCUGUUGUACACUGCCACUUCAAUAAAAGUUGCUGUCUAACACCUCCAGCCCACCCUUGAAUUCUUUUCUGGGCAAAGCCAAGAACCCUCCUGUACUAAGCCCCAGUCUUGGGACUUGCCUGCCCUGCAUCACUGUGACAUCACUUUGCCUCUGUCUACUCAGUUCCCACCUAGGAUUCUGGGUCUCCCCUUAGGAACUAGCUGAAUAAAUGAGGUUUAUUUCUGGAAGAUUUGUCCAAGUAUCACUGGAUAUGAUUGACCACCAAAAGAUACCAAGUGUUUUGGGGACAGAGAAAAAAUUGAAAUUGGGGAAGUUAUAUAGAAGGCUUUCAGAAAGAGAUUGAGCUGAGUUUUGGAGAAGUUCUGUCACUUAAGUUUUUCUCAUAUUAUCUUCACAUACCUAAGAAAUAGACAGGUGGAAAAGAAUGGUGAGGAAAACCCAGGCAAGAGUAAUGGAGUGAGCAGAAGCUGAAGAGUAGGCAAGUGCAAGGCACACUUUUGGAUAAUUGAACAAACCAACCUAUAUACAAAAAUAGUGGGAGGUAAUGACUGGAAAGAUAGGCAGGGUUAUGGCCUUGAACAUCAGACUGAAAAAGUUUACAGUGUGGGAGAAAAAAACAUGAGAAUCAUCUAGUCCUGUUUUUUCAUCAUACAGGUGAUAAAACUAACAGAAGAGAGUUGAUCAAGGUCACAGAAUGAGUAAGAGGCAGAUUUUGCACUUUAACCCAGGUCCUUCGAUCAAUGUACGGUGUUCUUCCCAUGUAUUUACACACAUGGAAUCAUACCACAGGCAGACUGAUAGGAGAGAGAAGUCAUAAAAGGGCACCUUGCAGCCUGAAGACAAUCCUUGCUUUGCUUUAAUGGUGGCAACAGGAAAAAAAAAGUGGCUUACAGGCUAGUUAAAUGUUUUUAAGAUAAAUGUUCUCAAUAGGCUUAACUGGUCUCCCAAAGUCAUUGUAGCAGACAGAGACACCCUUUUUAGUUAGUUUGUUUGAUUGUUUUAUUGUUGUUGUUGUUCUUCUUUUUGCCUCCAAUAGCCUGUUGUCCUGUCUCUCAAUUUUAGUUUAGUUCCUCUCACAGGAAUUCAAUGGGAAACCUGGAGCAAGUUCCACUUUUGGACAUGGCUAUGUAAUGUAUCCUUUUGAAAUUCCCUGUCAUAAACAGGUAUUGAGUGAUGUAACAUACAGGCCCUUGAAACUCUUACAGCUACAAUAUAUGUAAAAAAGUGUGGCACUCAUAAGAAUGUUAUGUGGGAAAUGAUAAGAAACCGUCCUCUCUUGAUAAUUUAAAUUUGUUCACUUAAGAAGAAAUUUUUAUUUAAUAUUUGUCAGCAUCAUUUGGAUAUCUUUGGUAUGGAAAAGAACAAAUAAUAUAUUUGGUUGUUAUGUGUAUGUUUUAGAAAAUAUACUAAUACAGUUAAAUUUAAUUGAUGUAAGUUGGUAUAAAACACUUAAAUGAUACCAACUCUGUCAUCUAGGCUUACAUUCUAAAAGACAAAAAUAAUUGGGCAUUGCAACUGAAAAACACCUAUAUGAUAAUCCUUCUUCUAGCAAGGAGACAAAGAUAAGGUGGUGUGCGAUUUUUAUCCUUUUUAAAGUUGAAAAUCUAGUCCACUGUGCUACAUACUUUUUCACUUACCUUUUUAUUGCUGUCAACAAAGAUAAUAUCCCCAUUUCUCAGACAAGGAAACUGAGAUCUUUUGAGAUAAGCAGCUUUCCUGAGAAAUGACAGUAGAUAUCAAAGCCAGGAUCUAAGGCCAGGUUAUUUAGAUCCUAGUGCUUUAUAUAUAGUAACUUAGUAUUUAUUUAAUAAGUUAUCAACUCUGAGUAACUAUAUGAUUAGUAUAACAUUCAACAGUUAGUUCUAAUUAUCAAGUAAUAUGGGGAAGAAAAGCAGAGUCAUAAUCUGCACAUAUUCCAGAUCUCUUUUUCCCCCUCACGAUUCUUUACUGGUUAUAGGCAUAUGUUUAAUAUAUUAUUUUCUCUCUUCUGCCCUCCACCAGAGGGUGCUCAUAAGCAACUAAAUGACAAAGCUGUAGCAAUAGGAACUGAGAAAGAAGGGCUAUUUUAAUUCACAGUGUGGAUUAUUGGCCUCUUUGAUUAAAAAAAAAAAAAAAAAAAAAAGGUUGACUUUGAAACAGAGCUCUUGAUUCAACUGAAGUAACUUUGGUUUAAAGUUGCCUUACAAAUAACAUCUUGAGCACUUACAUACCUGAGGAUAAUACUUUUUUAUAUAGGUAAAGUUGACCGUUCUCUCUAAAUAGGUCUGAGGGGCUAUGCCACUAGAUAGGGUUAGGUUGGUCUAAUAGGGCUGUAUUUCUUAUUGUGUAACUUAAUGUUCUUCAGAAGUAUUUUAAUGUAAAAUGCUAAAGAACCUCUUCUAGUAUAUUCACUAAAAUCAAUAAGUAAUGAAGCACAAGACUAUUGAUAUCUGUGUUUAGUUAUAAAAGUAUAUUCAUUUAGAAAUUUUGCUAUUUCUGUUACAGUGAGCAGCUCUUUAUCUCCCUAUGACAUAAUCUGGUUUUGGGGGAUGAAAUGCACUCAAAAGUUUUUUUAAAAAAGUUUUUGUGUUGAACAACCUCUCUUUGAUAGGCAAAAUCUCAAGAUAAUGUUGGGCAGUAUAAG
Sapajus apella (tufted capuchin) is the source of this 4081-nucleotide long non-coding RNA. RefSeq lists it as uncharacterized. The transcript is spliced from 2 exons. NCBI's taxonomy places the organism in Eukaryota, Metazoa, Chordata, Mammalia, Primates, Cebidae. The record is from RefSeq and is a predicted model, not a curated record.